GCCGGGCGUGGUGGCGAGCGCCUGUACUCCCAGCUACUCGGGAGGCUGAGGCAGGAGAAUCGCUUGAACCCGGAAGGCGAAGGUUGUAGUGAGCCGAGAUCGUGCCAUUGCACUACAGCCUGGGAGAAAAGAGCGAAACUCCAUCUCAAAAGAAGAAAUCUUUUUGUGUUUGUUUUGAGACGGAGUUUUGCUCUGUUGCCCAGGCUGGAGUGCAGUGGCGCGAUCUCGGCUCACUGCAACCUCUGCCUCCCGGGUUCAAGCAAUUAUCCUGCCUCAG
This is an unclassified non-coding RNA of Macaca mulatta (Rhesus monkey), 277 nucleotides long. It matches the Rfam family "Metazoan signal recognition particle RNA". From Rfam's summary of the family: The signal recognition particle (SRP) is a universally conserved ribonucleoprotein. Lineage: Eukaryota; Metazoa; Chordata; Mammalia; Primates; Cercopithecidae. The record is from Ensembl.